This 200-nucleotide unclassified non-coding RNA is filed under the name soil metagenome. RNAcentral's name for it is "partial contains internal transcribed spacer 2 and large subunit ribosomal RNA". The record is from RNAcentral.
UUUGCAGGCUUUCACAAGUCAGCUCCCCUGAAAUGUAUUAGCGGUACCCUUGUGGUAAACGGCUAUUGGUGUGAUAAUUAUCUACGCCAUUCGGUCGCCCACAUAUUAAAAGGGUUAUGCUGCUUCUAACCAUCCAUUGACUUGGACAAUACAAUGACAAUUUUGGCCUCAAAUCAGGUAGGACUACCCGCUGAACUUAA